RNAcentral lists this ribosomal RNA (486 nucleotides) under uncultured bacterium. Its description in RNAcentral is "partial 16S ribosomal RNA". It matches the Rfam family "Bacterial small subunit ribosomal RNA", at positions 30 to 507 of the family's 1533-position model. The record is from RNAcentral.
AUUGAACGCUGGCGGCAUGCCUUACACAUGCAAGUCGAACGGCAGCACGGGUGCUUGCACCUGGUGGCGAGUGGCGAACGGGUGAGUAAUACAUCGGUACAUGUCCCGUAGCGGGGGAUAGCCCGGCGAAAGCUGGAUUAAUACCGCAUACGAUCUACGGAUGACAGCGGGGGACCUUCAGGCCUCGCGCUAUAGGGUUGGCCGAUGGCUGUUUAGCUAGUUGGGGGGGUAAAGGCCUACCCAGGCGACGAUCAGUAGCUGGUCUGAGAGGACGACCAGCCACACGGGAGCUGGAACACGGCCCAGACUCCUACGGUAGGCAGCAGUGGGGAAUUGUGGACAAUGGUCGAAAGUCUGAUCCAGCAAGGCCGCGUGUGUGAAGAAGGCCUUCGGGUUGUAAAGCACUUUUGUCCGGAAAGAAAUCCUUGGCCCUAAGACGGUCGGGGGAUGACGGUACCGGAAGAAUAAGCACCGGCUAACUACGUG